UACGAAGGGGGCUAGCGUUGCUCGGAAUUACUGGGCGUAAAGGGCGCGUAGGCGGACAGUUUAGUCAGAGGUGAAAGCCCAGGGCUCAACCUUGGAAUUGCCUUUGAUACUGGCUGUCUUGAGUACGGGAGAGGUGAGUGGAACUCCGAGUGUAGAGGUGAAAUUCGUAGAUAUUCGGAAGAACACCAGUGGCGAAGGCGGCUCACUGGCCCGAUACUGACGCUGAUGCACGAAAGCGUGGGGAGCAAACAGG
Molecule: ribosomal RNA, 253 nt
Filed under: uncultured bacterium
Lineage: Bacteria
Description: partial 16S ribosomal RNA
Rfam family: Bacterial small subunit ribosomal RNA
Source: RNAcentral